AUUACUUUGGCUACAACCACAUCGUAGCAAGCGAGUAGCUAACAGAUCAUAUUUUCCACCUGCAAACCAGAUCCUGAACAUGAAUUUCUUCAAAGUAAUUUUCAUGGUAGCUGCCGCUGUUGCCGCUUUGAGCGGUUAUUAUGUAGAAGCUGUACUGAGUCCCAAUGCCAAUCCCAGCAACGUCAAGUAUUUGGGAGCUACAAGCAGAUACGAUUAAUAAAAAAAGAUAUGCUUCUCUUGUAGAUUUUUAAAUCGAAACAUUAAGGAAAUAAAAUUCAUCACAAAAAAUA
Molecule: long non-coding RNA, 290 nt
Organism: Anoplophora glabripennis (Asian longhorned beetle)
Lineage: Eukaryota; Metazoa; Arthropoda; Insecta; Coleoptera; Cerambycidae
Exons: 3
Source: RefSeq, a predicted model, not a curated record